UCCGUAGGUGGAUAAUUAAGUCAGAGGUGAAAUCCUGCAGCUCAACUGUAGAAUUGCCUUUGAUACUGGUUAUCUUGAGUCAUUAUGAAGUGGUUAGAAUGUGUAGUGUAGCGGUGAAAUGCAUAGAUAUUACACAGAAUACCGAUUGCGAAGGCAGAUCACUAAUAAUGUACUGACACUGAUGGACGAAAGCGUGGGGAGCGAACAGGAUUAGAUACCCGGUAGUCC
Molecule: ribosomal RNA, 228 nt
Filed under: uncultured bacterium
Lineage: Bacteria
Description: partial 16S ribosomal RNA
Rfam family: Bacterial small subunit ribosomal RNA
Source: RNAcentral